This 189-nucleotide small nuclear RNA is filed under the name Carlito syrichta (Philippine tarsier). RNAcentral describes it as "U2 spliceosomal RNA (ENSTSYG00000021771.2)". It matches the Rfam family "U2 spliceosomal RNA". From Rfam's summary of the family: U2 is a small nuclear RNA (snRNA) component of the spliceosome (involved in pre-mRNA splicing). Complementary binding between U2 snRNA (in an area lying towards the 5' end but 3' to hairpin I) and the branchpoint sequence (BPS) of the intron results the bulging out of an unpaired adenosine, on the BPS, which initiates a nucleophilic attack at the intronic 5' splice site, thus starting the first of two transesterification reactions that mediate splicing. The record is from Rfam by way of RNAcentral. Lineage: Eukaryota; Metazoa; Chordata; Mammalia; Primates; Tarsiidae.
CUUGCUUCUUUGCCUUUUGGCUAAGACAAGUAUAGUAUCUAUUCUUAUCAGUUUAAUAUGUGAUACAUCCUCUAUUCAUGGACAAUAUAUAAAGUGAAUUUUUGGAGCAGGGAGAUGGAGUAGGAACUGACCCAGUCCAUUCCAGGCAUCAACCUGGUACUGUAGUGCCUCUAGAACAACACAUCAAAG